UACGUAGGGUGCAAGCGUUGUUCGGAAUCAUUGGGCGUAAAGCGCGUGUAGGUGGUCAGUUAAGUCGGGUGUGAAAUCCCUGGGCUCAACCGAGGAAGUGCAUCCGAAACUGAUUGGCUAGAAGGUGGUAGAGGGAGGUGGAAUUCCUAGUGUAGAGGUGAAAUUCGUAGAUAUUAGGAGGAAUACCGGCGGCGAAGGCGGCCUCCUGGACCAUUCUUGACACUGAGACGCGAAAGCGUGGGGAGCAAACAGG
RNAcentral lists this ribosomal RNA (253 nucleotides) under uncultured bacterium. RNAcentral describes it as "partial 16S ribosomal RNA". It matches the Rfam family "Bacterial small subunit ribosomal RNA", at positions 524 to 776 of the family's 1533-position model. The record is from RNAcentral.